UUAAAAGAAUAAUAAGUCACAAGAUUGUAAAAACGCCAAAAUGUAAGUUUUUCAAAAGUUUUAAAGUAUUAUAGCAAAUUUGUGCCCAAAUGAUUUAAAGAUUGUUUAACUAAAGGUUCAAAUUUUAUUUGCAAUUUCUCCCAAGGAAGGAGAGAAGCGCCUCGUACAGCUUCAGUGAAGAGCUCCGCAGCUGGGUCUCCAGAAGGCGUGAGCGUGGCCUCAGGUGGCCUCGUCUCAUAACUUCCUGGAUAAAGUGUUCUACGUGAGGCCAAAACACAGAAUUUAAACACUCGGCUACAGCGCUGCACUCCACUGAUUCUAAGGCACCAAAGACGCCACAACGCCUCAGGGAUUUAAAACAACAGUCCAGGAGAAGGACAGGAGAGAAAAGAGGAAGGGACAAACAGAUACAUUAAAGCCUCGAUCCUGAUGCAAGUCCACAGCUCCCCAUCCUACACCCUGCAGCCAAACGUGCUUCAGGACUCAGAGCUUCCCAGACUUCAGAAAGGUAAUGCAGAACGUGCAACACACAUUGAAUAUUACUCUAACAGGGACUGGGGCAGCAACUUUAAUCAAACAGGUAAAUAUUUCUGCAGUGAAAUACAUGAAUAUUCACACUGAAUGAAUCUAUGCUAAACUCAGGGGGGGAAAUGUGCAUUUUUCAGAGUUUUCAGAUUUUAGAAUUAGGAAUAAAAAAUUAUAGAUACGUAUUUGCCAAAAGACAGUCAUGUUUUAUAUUAAGGAAAGUAUAUAUUUUUUUUCCCAAAAAGAAGCCACAAAAUUAAAAAUAAGUACUUUCUCUUUUUCCUCCUCUGUUUUUGGGAGUGAUUGCAGGCUUCAUCUUUUGCUUGUAAUUAUAAUGAUCUGCAUCAUCCUUUUCACUAAUUUUUUUAAAAGAUCAUCAAUCUGCUCCAAAAGAGCCACAGAAGGAUACUAAAACUCAGUUUGAUUUGAUUUUGUUUAGCCAAGUAAAGGCUAACGCAAUUCAGUUUCGAAAAAACACAGACACGAGAGAAAAGGGCAAACAGGAGGAUCCAUACACUUUGGCCAGAGUUCUAAUGGGCUCUGGGCUCCCGGAUGCUCAGGGCACCAGCUCUGCCUCAGCUUCAGAAGAAGCUGAUACAACUGGUGGUUCAUCAUUGUCCUUCCCAAAGUAAUGAGAAUCAUCACAAAGGAAAACAUUUAACAAUUCAAUAAAACAGAAGCAGGUUUUUGCAAUCUCUGCAUUUUAGCUAUUUAUGCAAAAUGCCUAUAUAUAUCACAAAAAUUAUAUGUAUCACUAGAUACAUAGUUUACCUUGAGAUGAACUCAAGAGGUGAAUUUUUUCCAGAAACUGACUUUUCUUUUUAAAUUUUUUAUUGUGGUAAAAUAUAUAUAACAUAAAAUUUACCAUUUUAA
Molecule: non-coding RNA, 1398 nt
Organism: Equus caballus (horse)
Lineage: Eukaryota; Metazoa; Chordata; Mammalia; Perissodactyla; Equidae
Source: RefSeq, a predicted model, not a curated record